RNAcentral lists this ribosomal RNA (887 nucleotides) under Fructilactobacillus sanfranciscensis. Its description in RNAcentral is "bacterial SSU rRNA". It matches the Rfam family "Bacterial small subunit ribosomal RNA", at positions 401 to 1283 of the family's 1533-position model. Lineage: Bacteria; Bacillati; Bacillota; Bacilli; Lactobacillales; Lactobacillaceae. The record is from RNAcentral.
GAGUGAAGAAGGGUUUCGGCUCGUAAAACUCUGUUGUUAGAGAAGAACAGCCGUGAGAGCAACUGCUCACGGUAUGACGGUAUCUAACCAGAAAGUCACGGCUAACUACGUGCCAGCAGCCGCGGUAAUACGUAGGUGGCAAACGUUGUCCGGAUUUAUUGGGCGUAAAGGGAGCGCAGGCGGUUUAUUAAGUCUGAUGUGAAAGCCUUCGGCUUAACCGGAGAAGUGCAUCGGAAACUGAUAAACUUGAGUGCAGAAAAGGAUAGUGGAACUUCAUGUGUAGCGGUGAAAUGCGUAGAUAUAUGAAGGAACACCAGUGGCGAAGGCGGCUAUCUGGUCUGUAACUGACGCUGAGGCUCGAAAGCAUGGGUAGCAAACAGGAUUAGAUACCCUGGUAGUCCAUGCCGUAAACGAUGAAUGCUAGGUGUUGGAAGGUUUCCGCCUUUCAGUGCCGCAGCUAACGCAUUAAGCAUUCCGCCUGGGGAGUACGACCGCAAGGUUGAAACUCAAAGGAAUUGACGGGGACCCGCACAAGCGGUGGAGCAUGUGGUUUAAUUCGAUGCUACGCGAAGAACCUUACCAGGACUUGACAUCUUCUGCCAAUCUAAGAGAUUAGACGUUCCCUUCGGGGACAGAAUGACAGGUGGUGCAUGGUUGUCGUCAGCUCGUGUCGUGAGAUGUUGGGUUAAGUCCCGCAACGAGCGCAACCCUUGUCUUUAGUUGCCAGCAUUAAGUUGGGCACUCUAGAGAGACUGCCGGUGAUAAACCGGAGGAAGGUGGGGAUGACGUCAAAUCAUCAUGCCCCUUAUGUCCUGGGCUACACACGUGCUACAAUGGGCGAUACAACGAGUUGCGAAACCGCGAGGUCAAGCUAAUCUCUUAAAGUC